This 88-nucleotide small RNA is filed under the name Flavobacterium sp. 120. Its description in RNAcentral is "Flavo-1 RNA". It matches the Rfam family "Flavo-1 RNA". The record is from RNAcentral. Lineage: Bacteria; Pseudomonadati; Bacteroidota; Flavobacteriia; Flavobacteriales; Flavobacteriaceae.
GAUUUGCGUUAAGGAUGGGAGUGGAAAUCCUUUUCAUUUUUUUUGUUUCAAAAAAUAAAAAGAUUGAGAAUGGACAGCCUGACCACGC